UCUUCCCGUACGCCUCGCAGA
Non-coding RNA from Caenorhabditis elegans, 21 nucleotides. NCBI's taxonomy places the organism in Eukaryota, Metazoa, Nematoda, Chromadorea, Rhabditida, Rhabditidae. The record is from Ensembl.